This 1639-nucleotide long non-coding RNA is filed under the name Equus caballus (horse). RNAcentral's name for it is "lncRNA (ENSECAG00000059875.1)". Lineage: Eukaryota; Metazoa; Chordata; Mammalia; Perissodactyla; Equidae. The record is from RNAcentral.
AAAUCCAACAGCAGCGUGAUCUUGGACUUCCUAGCCUUCAGAACUGCGAGGGAAACUUUCUCAUCAGGGACGUCUUAACUGGACAAUCCAGGCUUGGACCUCAGCAGAGGGUCAUUGCUAGGGGACAGAGAAAUAAGACCUCCUACAGUCAGUACUUCCCUUGAUGGCGGUGAAUGACCAGGAGUGGACAAAAUAAGGGUGCUUCCCAAAGUGUUCUGAAGAACAGCAGUCCUUUGACGUACUCUAAAAAGACCAACUUCUCAGUCAAUAUGCAGAUUUCUCGAAAAACUAAAAAUGGAACUACCACAGAUUCCAGCUAUUCCACUACUGGGUAUUUCUCCAAAGAACAUGAAAUCAACAAUUUAAAGAGACUUAUGCACCCCUAUGUUCAUUGCAGCGUUAUUCAUAAUAGCCAAGAUGUGGAAACAACCCAAGUGCCUAUCAACUGAUGAUUGGAUAAAGAAGAUGUGGUGUGUAGAUAUAUACAAUGGAAUACUACUUAACCAUAAAAAAGACAAAAUUGUCCCAUUUGCAACAACAGGGACAGACCUUGAGGCUAUUAUGCUAAGUGAAAUAAGUUAGAGAAAGACAAACACCAUAUCAUUUCACUGGUGAAAAAACAAGUAUCUGCAGGUGAAGCAUCUUGGUCAAGUCCCCACGGGAAAGGAGAGCUAAAAUCCAGUCUGAGUUUUCCGACGUCAGAGCCCAGGCUGGACGUGUUGCAGCUGAAGCCCAAUAAGCUUGGAUUAUAGCUGUUAGGGUCAAGUCUAUUGUCCAUUGUCAGUCUUCCUAUUGGAAAUAUUUCGAACGUGCAGAUCUUAAUCUGGAGCACUCAUGAACCAUAUUCCUACGAGCGUUGCUUGCUCCAACACCUUCGGCAGAAUGAUUGGGCCAUGAACAGAUAAGUGGAAAUGGCUCAUCUUGCUCUUCUCCAAGAUGCUUUCUGUCUCUCUUUGUUUUCUCUGUGACUACAGCCUCUGGGUUUUAUCCUUUUCUUAUAGCAACCUGGAGGGAAUCUUGUAAGUCCAACUUGAAAUGAGUCAUUGGACAGCAGCACUGGAGGCAGUGAAACGUCCCACGUAAAGCUGAUAUCUCUUCAGUCUGCAAAGCUAAGGAAUCACCACCUGUUUACUCAUUCCGUGAUCACUAUUGUAUAAGCUACAUAAACUACGAGGAGGAGAAAUGGGGUCUGGAAGUUCUUUUACAACAUGUAUAUAACUUAGUUUAUUAUUAGCACCUGGAAGGCAUCUCAAUCAGUAUUCAUUCCUUUGAAACUUUUAAGUUGAGAAAUAUUUCUCUUUUAUGAAAGGGAACAUUUUAGGGAAGAUCAGCAGUUCUCCAGCUAGUGUGGAUAACACAGAGAUACUAAGUGGAGGAAGCUCGUGUGCAGCAAGAAGAAGAGGAUGCUUCCAGGUCCCGCCUGCCGUGAGGACGCUGCAGCAAACACAGGGGCACAGAUGUCCUUUCCAAUUAGUGUCUUCACAGUCUUUGGAUAAACACCCAGAAGUGGAAUAGCUGGAUUAUGUGGUAGUUGUAUUCUUAAUUGUUUGAGGAAUCUCCUUACUGUUUCAUCUGAAAUUUAUAGAACGUUAUAAAUCAAUGUUACCUCAAUAAAAUUAAAAAAUAAAUUUUAAAAAAA